RNAcentral lists this ribosomal RNA (483 nucleotides) under uncultured bacterium. RNAcentral describes it as "partial 16S ribosomal RNA". It matches the Rfam family "Bacterial small subunit ribosomal RNA", at positions 30 to 507 of the family's 1533-position model. The record is from RNAcentral.
AUUGAACGCUGGCGGCAGGCCUAACACAUGCAAGUCGAGCGGAUGAAGGGAGCUUGCUCCUGGAUUCAGCGGCGGACGGGUGAGUAAUGCCUAGGAAUCUGCCUGGUAGUGGGGGAUAACGUCCGGAAACGGGCGCUAAUACCGCAUACGUCCUGAGGGAGAAAGUGGGGGAUCUUCGGACCUCACGCUAUCAGAUGAGCCUAGGUCGGAUUAGCUAGUUGGUGGGGUAAAGGCCUACCAAGGCGACGAUCCGUAACUGGUCUGAGAGGAUGAUCAGUCACACGCGAAGUAAGAAACGGCCCAGAACCCUAGGGAGGCAGCAGUGGGGAAUAUUGGACAAUGGGCGAAAGCCUGAUCCAGCCAUGCCGCGUGUGUGAAGAAGGUCUUCGGAUUGUAAAGCACUUUAAGUUGGGAGGAAGGGCAGUAAGUUAAUACCUUGCUGUUUUGACGUUACCAACAGAAUAAGCACCGGCUAACUUCGUG